UACGGAGGAUCCGAGCGUUAUCCGGAUUUAUUGGGUUUAAAGGGUGCGCAGGCGGGGGAUUAAGUCGGCGGUGAAAUUUUGCAGCUCAACUGUAAAAGUGCCUUCGAAACUGGUUUCCUUGAGUGUAGAUGAAGUAGGCGGAAUUUGUGGUGUAGCGGUGAAAUGCAUAGAUAUCACGAGGAACUCCGAUUGCGAAGGCAGCUUACUAAGCUACUACUGACGCUCAGGCACGAAGGCGUGGGGAUCAAACAGGAUUAGAUACCCGGGUAGUCCCUGA
RNAcentral lists this ribosomal RNA (277 nucleotides) under uncultured prokaryote. RNAcentral's name for it is "partial 16S ribosomal RNA". It matches the Rfam family "Bacterial small subunit ribosomal RNA", at positions 524 to 800 of the family's 1533-position model. The record is from RNAcentral.